UACGGAAGGUCCGGGCGUUAUCCGGAUUUAUUGGGUUUAAAGGGAGCGCAGGCCGGCUUUUAAGCGUGACGUGAAAUGUGGAUGCUCAACAUCUGAACUGCGUCGCGAACUGGAGGCCUUGAGUGCAUUCGACGCCAGCGGAAUUCGUGGUGUAGCGGUGAAAUGCUUAGAUAUCACGAAGAACUCCGAUUGCGAAGGCAGCUGGCGAGGCUGUAACUGACGCUAAAGCUCGAAGGUGCGGGUAUCGAAC
This 250-nucleotide ribosomal RNA is filed under the name uncultured prokaryote. RNAcentral describes it as "partial 16S ribosomal RNA". It matches the Rfam family "Bacterial small subunit ribosomal RNA", at positions 524 to 773 of the family's 1533-position model. The record is from RNAcentral.